RNAcentral lists this ribosomal RNA (422 nucleotides) under uncultured bacterium. RNAcentral describes it as "bacterial SSU rRNA". It matches the Rfam family "Bacterial small subunit ribosomal RNA", at positions 355 to 774 of the family's 1533-position model. The record is from RNAcentral.
UGAGGAAUAUUGGGCAAUGCCCGCAAGGGUGACCCAGCAACGCCGCGUGGAGGAUGAAUGUCGUAAGAUUGUAAACUCCUGUUAGAGGGGAAGAAUAGUACCGGUUGGACCGGUAUAUGACUGUACCCUCAGAGAAAGCCCCGGCUAACUACGUGCCAGCAGCCGCGGUAAUACGUAGGGGUCAAGCGUUGUCCGGAUUUACUGGGUGUAAAGGGCGCGCAGGCGGGAUAAAAAGUCAGUGGUGAAAUCCUACAGCUUAACUGUAGAACGGCCUUUGAUACUUUUAUUCUUGAGUUCGGGAGAGAGAGACGGAAUUCCAGGUGUAGUGGUGAAAUACGUAGAUAUCUGGAAGAACACCUGUUGCGAAGGCGGUCUCUUGGUCCGACACUGACGCUGAGGCGCGAAAGCGUGGGGAGCAAACA